RNAcentral lists this microRNA (20 nucleotides) under Ciona intestinalis (vase tunicate). Its description in RNAcentral is "cin-miR-1502d-5p". The record is from miRBase by way of RNAcentral. Lineage: Eukaryota; Metazoa; Chordata; Ascidiacea; Phlebobranchia; Cionidae.
UGAACUUUCCCAGGAAUAAG